This 4113-nucleotide long non-coding RNA is filed under the name Oncorhynchus mykiss (rainbow trout). RNAcentral's name for it is "lncRNA (ENSOMYG00000055787.1)". The record is from RNAcentral. Lineage: Eukaryota; Metazoa; Chordata; Actinopteri; Salmoniformes; Salmonidae.
GCACUAUUUUUUAUUUAAUAGACAACCUAUCCCCUACAAAGUGUGUUGGUCAAAAUUUGUGCACUUUAUUGGCAAUAGGUCAUUUCAAACGCAUCCUAUUAUGAGGGGGCCAAUUACGUGUAUUUUUGGUUCACACUCAAGUCAUCUUUCAUCUUUGGCCGUUUCAAUGCCUCUCUGCAAUCUUGCUAGUCCCAACUUCCCAUCUUAGAUGGAGAGAGCCUUACCCUACAUGGUAGCAUUAGCUUUAGGUAUUGUGGAUGAGACUGACUAAAAAAGGGCUUGAAUGGCAGCUGCUCUGCUGUGUUCACCCCAGAGAGCAAGGGAGAGAGAGAGACGUGGACUCACUGCAGCCAUCCCACACUGCAGAGCACGAUGCCCAUCAAUCACCCUACUGUCCCACACAGCCUCCCAUUGUUGGGGUUCCUGAGAAUCAAGAAACACGUUGGCAACCUCUGUUUGUUUUUUGUUCUCAGAAGGGCCCUGCAAUAACCAUCCCUUUGUCCGAGUCGUAUUGAUGGAAUCUGGAGAAUAAGCAGAUUUGCAACGGAUAUUAAUGUGCCAGAACAAUAAGUGAUCAGCGGUGCAACACAGGUCAAACAACAAGCGUGGCUUUUAUGUUGCCAGGAUACUGUGUGCUUGGGGGUUAUUCACUCACAGGAGGAAAUGAUCAUAUCUACACUGGGCCUGUCUGUAGUCACCCAGGUCCAGGCGCCGCCCUUGACAGAUGGACGGACAGACAAUCACUCUUGAAGACCAGAGAACCCUCACAACGACUGAAGGAACAAGAGUUCACAGGAAAAGAACAUCAAAUGCACAUGCAAGCAAAGCAUCGACUCGCCCUCUGUCUCUUUCUCAGAAGUUCCCCUGAGAGCAUGGACAAUGCCCUUCACUCAACAGUCAUAAAAGCCUUAUGAGCGUCAGUGGAGCUGUGGUCGUUCUGCGUGACUGGAGGAACGAGAGAGAAUGAAAAGACCAGGAGAUGAGACGCGAGUCAAAAACCACAGUGAGAGUGGCCUGAUUAAGGACUGACCCCAGUUCAUCUCCAGGACGUCCGUACUCUAGAACCUCUACACACACACACAUACUCUACAUGCACUCCUUCCUGUUUCACGCUGCCAAAUACUGAAGGACUUACUCAUAGCAUUGUGGUUAACCAAGGCUGAGUUCGUCGUUGCUUUGUUAAGGGUCUUUGAGGAGACUCGAUAGGGGAUUUGUUUAUUUCUAUCAAAAGCAUUUGGAAGUUGGAAGGACAUUGACUAAAGACAGUAAAUUAAACAAAAAAUAAUUAAAUCAUUUUAGAAAGCAGAGAUCUUCAGUGUUGUUUUUGUCUAUCCAUCCAUCCAUCCAUCCUCUGUGAAAAAAGAGAAAAAUGAGGCUUCGGCACAUUUCCAGUGAGUUUAUUUCAGUAGAAGUGGUUUUUAAAACACUUCACACUGUACCUCAAACAUCUCAUUUCCUUGAGACCCCCAUAAGCAAGCAAGAUCAACAUAUUCAAAUAUGGCGGUGUCCAAUAUCAUUAUAUUCUGUGCAAAAACAUUUUUAAGCAUACUAUUUUACAGAAGAAAAAAUUAAAAAUCUACAUUUUGGAAGGGUUGGGGGUUGAAACGGUCACACAAUCAAGAUGUAUAUUUUGUACAAUUGUCAAAACUUGGGACUACAUGAGAUAAAAUCCAUCAGGUGGCUGUAGAUAUGUGCCUUGUUUAAAACAGCCAAAGCAGGCAGGAGUAGUGACCUGUAUAGAACAACAACAAACAACUUCUACUGCUCUCUCUUCAGUACAGAUCAUUCUCUUUAGCAAUUGUGUAAGGGUACUGAGUGUGUGUGUGUGUGUGUGCACUCGUGUCGUCAUAAAUACAGUACAUACAUACAUACAAACUCAAUGUGUUCUAAUAAGGCAUAUGUGGCAUAUCAAAGUCCACAGAAAAUAAACAGUCCCAUCAGUAACUUGACAGCACUAUUUAAGGCCUGGAAAACAGAAAAGGGGGAGAUAAAAUCACAAGUACCUUAAGGAAAGAAUGUCAAAACAAUGUAUUGAAAGCAGCCCUGCAGUGGCCGGGGGCCGGAGAGUGCGAUGGGGGAGGGGGGGGCUGCUGUGACGUCACCCCCACAGUGGGAUGGGGACGUGGUCCUGGAGUCUGGGGGUGCGAUGCCUGCCCUGAACCAGUCUACAGUCAGACACUAUCAAAACUCAUUAUCAGGUCUCUCUUCCAAGAGUAUAGGGGUGAACCCUUCAAAGUAGAGUUCUUGGCUAUACAAAGUGAGAGGACUGCGAGUGUAUCCAUUUCACAUGAGAGGUGGGAGGGAGAGGGGGGGGGGGGAGGACCACAUUGCCUCGUAGCCAUAAAAUCACAGAUAUAAAAUACAUUCAUGAACAAAACCCCAAAACAGGUCAAUGAAUAAAAGCAUACCUCACAUCAAUUGAAAUGGCUCUUUAGCAUAGAGGAAAAAACACGUUUCAGUUCAUGACUACACAAUAGGUUGAGAUGGGGAAGAGUAAAAACAAAAACAUUUCUUGGCGCAUCAAACUGACAUGAAGCGUUUUGCUAAACAGGGAAAGAGAGCCGGACACACAGUCCACUUCACUGUGACCUAAACAUCAUAUUGUUAUCCCAGCAAGCAAAAGUGGUUUCAAUGACAUCGUUAUGAUGUCUACUAUUAAAUUAUGAUCAGGUUGUAGAUUAGACGUGUCCUUUUUUUUAAAACAAAAAAAACAAACAGCAACCACAAAAUGCAAUAAUCUGGUUAUCUGACCAGAUGACAACCAAAAUAUGACGUCUUGCGCUCGUCAUGAAAAAUAUAUCUUGCUGUAACAGAGACCAGUUCCUUGUCAUCUGGUUUUAUAUUUUCAACCAGAAAACCAGCUUACAACAACAUUACGUCAUGCUCCAAAUGCUGUCUCUAGGGUUACGAUAGUACCUCAGUAAGGGUUCUGGCGAAAGACUCAGAUGAUGGUACCACGCCAGUGUCAGACCAGACAAAGACCCAGUUCCCUGAGAACAUCAGAGACAAAGGUUCCAAACACUACAAACUAACGGCAGCAGAUUGGGCGUAAUAAUAUUUGAAUAACAAGAAUAUUUACAUCGUGGUGGUCCUGAAAAAACCCCAACUAAAAUCAAACUGUUUUCCUAUUGAUGCAGCAUUGGGGGUAGAGAAACACAACAGAAUGAUCGAGCUGACUUUUUGGAGUUAAUAAAUGUGAACAACUCCUCUUGUGUUAUUGUUACUGCUGAGUAGACUACAGCAACUCCUGUGCUGGUGGUAGGAGGUACAUGGAUCUAUAUGACACUGCCUGGUGCCAUCGAUUUCAUCUAAUCGCUACUCAUUGGUUGGUUACGCGGACGCCGAAAUGCUGUGUUCAGGGCAACGGACAGUUUCAAAUCAAAUAUCAACAACAGAUUAAAGUGAUCUCAUUCGAACAGACAGCAACAUAUUCAGAUCGAUUUCAGUAUGGACACUAAACAACAUACCAUGGGCAAAUAGUAUACUCUUUAAAGUGACAUAAAUCCUGAAUAAAUACCAUAAAGACUGUUAAUUUAUGCUGUGUCAAGAGCUUGUUUUCCUCACUCCCUUCAAGAAGCUUUUAUUGGUAACUUUUGAACAAUAUUUUUUUUACAUACAGUAUAUUGAUUAUAUUUUCUUUCCUUAGGUGUGUUUUUUUCUGCAUUGGAUAUUCCAGUUGCUAGGUACUUAUUUUGGCUUCAAGCAACAAACUGCUCUUUAUGGAGUUAGUUUGUAGUUGGGUCUAUUCUCCCAGAGCGACUAACACACGACUCGACUCGCCUGACAGACUCCUAAUCCUUCACAGUUAGCAUCAGUUCCCGACCAAUAGUCCUUUGACCGAUAUAUAUAUAUUAUGUAUAAAAAAAUAAGUUAUUGCGCAUCCCAAAAAAGUGCAUCGUUUUUUUCUUUUAAAAAAUAUCUCUCGUUGCGUUUCACUUUUUCUUCCUUUGAUCCGGAAUCGUAUUAAGACUGUUUUCUCGGAGGGUGUUGGUUGACGAAAGUGUUGGCGCACCUUCUUUCUUGACCUCUGACCUUUUGUCGUACCACGUGGGCACGGGCGCGUAGGUGACGGGUUGGGACAGGCAGGGCAGAGUGUAUAGUAGAGGGAUAGAG